UUAAGUUCAGCGGGUAAUCCCACCUGAUUCGAGGUCAAACGUUGAAUAAUUAUUGUCCAAGAACAAUUGAUUAGAAGCAAUCCAAAGAUGGGCUCGGGCCAGUCCUGAAACUGUCCUCAACGUUAGAUAAUUAUCACGCUGAGUAGAACCAAACCCCCCAUUAAGGACCAGCUAAUACAUUUAAGACCAGCCGCAUUGAC
This 200-nucleotide unclassified non-coding RNA is filed under the name Sistotrema sp. RNAcentral's name for it is "partial internal transcribed spacer 2". The record is from RNAcentral. Lineage: Eukaryota; Fungi; Basidiomycota; Agaricomycetes; Cantharellales; Hydnaceae.